GACGAACGCUGGCGGCGUGCUUAACACAUGCAAGUCGAACGGAAAGGCCCUGCUUUUGUGGGGUGCUCGAGUGGCGAACGGGUGAGUAACACGUGAGUAACCUGCCCUUGACUUUGGGAUAACUUCAGGAAACUGGGGCUAAUACCGGAUAGGAUCUCCUGCUGCAUGGUGGGGGUUGGAAAGUUUCGGCGGUUGGGGAUGGACUCGCGGCUUAUCAGCUUGUUGGUGGGGUAGUGGUUUACCAAGGGUUUGACGGGUAGCCGGCCUGAGAGGGUGAACGGCGUCAAGGGGACUAAGAGAGGGAGCAGACGGGUACGGGAGGCAACAGGGGGAAAUAUUGCACAAUGGGCGGAAGUCUGAUGCAGCAACGCCGCGUGCGGGAUGACGGCCUUCGGGGUGUAAACAGCUUUCGCCUGUGACGAAGCGUGAGUGACGGUAAUGGGUAAAGAAGCACCGGCUAACUACGUG
RNAcentral lists this ribosomal RNA (468 nucleotides) under uncultured bacterium. RNAcentral describes it as "partial 16S ribosomal RNA". It matches the Rfam family "Bacterial small subunit ribosomal RNA", at positions 28 to 507 of the family's 1533-position model. The record is from RNAcentral.